This is a non-coding RNA of Schistosoma rodhaini, 46 nucleotides long. The record is from Rfam. Lineage: Eukaryota; Metazoa; Platyhelminthes; Trematoda; Strigeidida; Schistosomatidae.
GCACUGUUGAGAAGUCCCAUAAUAGGACGAAACGGUCGUCCAGUGC